CGAGUCGGUCAGGCGAUCGCUUUCCAAUCGUGUUUACACGCCUGGGAGGAGGAAAGUCCGGGCUCCAUAGGGCAGAGUGCCAGGUAACGCCUGGGGGGCGAGAGCCUACGGAAAGUGCAACAGAGAGUAUACCGCCUGGUUCGCCAGGUAAGGGUGAAAUGGUGCGGUAAGAGCGCACCGCGCGGCUGGUAACAGGCGUGGCGAUGGUAAACCCCACUCGGAGCAAGACCAAAUAGGAAUCCGUCAGCUGUGGCCCGCAGUGGAUUCGGGUAGGUCGCUACAGGCAAGUGGUGACACUUGUCGCAGAUGAAUGAUCGUCCACGACAGAACCCGGCUUAUCGACCGACUCACUUU
RNAcentral lists this RNase P RNA (354 nucleotides) under Halioglobus sp. Its description in RNAcentral is "RNase P RNA component class A". It matches the Rfam family "Bacterial RNase P class A". Rfam says of the family: Ribonuclease P (RNase P) is a ubiquitous endoribonuclease, found in archaea, bacteria and eukarya as well as chloroplasts and mitochondria. Its best characterised activity is the generation of mature 5'-ends of tRNAs by cleaving the 5'-leader elements of precursor-tRNAs. Cellular RNase Ps are ribonucleoproteins. Lineage: Bacteria; Pseudomonadati; Pseudomonadota; Gammaproteobacteria; Cellvibrionales; Halieaceae. The record is from RNAcentral.